This 495-nucleotide ribosomal RNA is filed under the name uncultured bacterium. RNAcentral describes it as "bacterial SSU rRNA". It matches the Rfam family "Bacterial small subunit ribosomal RNA", at positions 29 to 517 of the family's 1533-position model. The record is from RNAcentral.
AUUGAACGCUGGCGGAAUGCUUUACACAUGCAAGUCGAGCGGCAGCGCGGGGGCAACCCUGGCGGCGAGCGGCGAACGGGUGAGUAAUGUAUCGGAACGUACCCAGUCGUGGGGGAUAACUAUCCGAAAGGAUAGCUAAUACCGCAUACGACCUGAGGGUGAAAGCGGGGGACCGAAAGGCCUCGCGCGAUUGGAGCGGCCGAUAUCGGAUUAGCUAGUUGGUGAGGUAAAGGCUCACCAAGGCGACGAUCCGUAGCUGGUCUGAGAGGACGACCAGCCACACUGGAACUGAGACACGGUCCAGACUCCUACGGGAGGCAGCAGUGGGGAAUUUUGGACAAUGGGCGCAAGCCUGAUCCAGCCAUUCCGCGUGAGUGAAGAAGGCCUUCGGGUUGUAAAGCUCUUUCGCAAGGAAAGAAAACUUAUACUCCUAAUACGAGGUGAGGUUGACGGUACCUUGAUAAGAAGCACCGGCUAACUACGUGCCAGCAGCCG